AUGUCAGGUUUUAGCCAUGGCAUAAAUCAUGUAGUUCAUUCCAUCUCCUUUUAUUACUCGUUGGCCGUUUGGCAGUACAUCAUAUUCAUCUGCCAUCUUACCAUCCUGAAAAGUGUAGCACAAAUUAAGUUACUGUGUAUGCCAGAUCCAAAUUAGAUUAUGUCGAAGCUAUCUGGACUUGUUAUUUUUGGACUCUACUAUUAAAAUGAAUAGCAAGAGGAAUGAUUUGUACCACCGGAACACCAGGAUACAGCCGGAGAGUCUCGGUAAUCGCAGCAUGGAGAGCAUGUAGAAGAACCAUGUAAGGGUAUUCCAUGUGGUGUCUUUACUAGCAAUCAGGAAGCUGAGGACUAUGUCACGAAGGAUCCAAUUUACCAUCUGACAUGCAUACAGAAUCAUCUACCACCAUCUUACUGGUUAGCAAGAAAAACAGGAGGAACAAAAAUGAUGAGCAAGGAAAACCACCCAGGAUGAAAAAUGAUGAGCAAGUUUGUCUUAAGGAUAUGCUCGAUGACGGCAGGGUCGGCGGUUAAAAUCUCACUGUGCCCAGGAUAGACAUGCCUAAUGGUGGGGUGCAGGAGCGCAUACUUCACAUGCUCAUCGAAGAUCUUGUCAAAGUUGUU
Long non-coding RNA from Triticum aestivum (bread wheat), 623 nucleotides. RefSeq lists it as uncharacterized. NCBI's taxonomy places the organism in Eukaryota, Viridiplantae, Streptophyta, Magnoliopsida, Poales, Poaceae. The transcript has 3 exons. The record is from RefSeq and is a predicted model, not a curated record.